UGGGGAUAAACCCGGGAAACUGGGUAUAAUACCCAAUAGAUCUCGACUGCUGGAAUGCAUCGAGAUCCAAAGCUCCGGCGCUCAAGGAUGGAUCUGCGGCCUAUCAGGUAGUAGUGGGUGUAGCGUACCUACUAGCCUACGACGGGUACGGGUUGUGAGAGCAAGAGCCCGGAGAUGGAUUCUGAGACACGAAUCCAGGCCCUACGGGGUGCAGCAGGCGCGAAAACUUUACAAUGCUGGAAACAGCGAUAAGGGGACCUCGAGUGCCAGGUUACAAAUCUGGCUGUCGUGAUGCCUAAAAAGCAUUGCAUAGCAAGGGCCGGGCAAGACCGGUGCCAGCCGCCGCGGUAACACCGGCGGCUCGAGUGGUAACCGUUAUUAUUGGGUCUAAAGGGUCUGUAGCCGGCCGGAUAAGUCUCUUGGGAAAUCUGGCAGCUUAACUGUCAGGCUUUCAGGAGAUACUGUCUGGCUCGAGGCCGGGAGAGGUGAAAGGUACUUCAGGGGUAGGGGUGAAAUCUUGUAAUCCUUGAAGGACCACCAGUGGCGAAGGCGUCUCACCAGAACGGACCUGACGGCAAGGGACGAAAGCUAGGGGCACGAACCGGAUUAGAUACCCGGGUAGUCCUAGCCGUAAACGAUACUCGCUAGGUGUCGGCAACGGUGCGACCGUUGUCGGUGCCGUAGGGAAGCCGUGAAGCGAGCCACCUGGGAAGUACGGCCGCAAGGCUGAAACUUAA
This 737-nucleotide ribosomal RNA is filed under the name unidentified archaeon. Its description in RNAcentral is "bacterial SSU rRNA". It matches the Rfam family "Archaeal small subunit ribosomal RNA", at positions 121 to 859 of the family's 1478-position model. The record is from RNAcentral.